AUAAGACACAGCUUGGAUGUAUAAAUAUCUUGUUCGGUAUAUUUUUAUAAUUUAAUUAAAAGUUUGUAUAUAUAGUAGAUAAGGAGUGUAAUCAAAUGUUUACAAAUUGGAUAUUAUAUUCCGCAUUUAAGUCAUUUGUUCGGAUAAUAUAAAUUACCUUAUGGGUGCGUUUGGUUCGCGCUAUCUUUUAAAGAUUCCUAGUAAUCCAAUGGGAAUAAAAAAUUAUAACGGUGUUUGGCUAAACGCACUAAGUAAUCUAGUUGGUAAUAUUGGAUUCACUUGGGAAUAAGAUUCACUCCAAAGUACUAAUCUCAUUCCCUUGAGGGAGGGUGGGUAUCCUCAUAUUAAUAGAUUGGAGUAAUCAUAAUAUGUCUAAUCUCUUUCUUUCCACUACAACAAAAACGGUCUAUAGCGACACUUUUAAAUGUUGGUACAUGUCAAAAAAAUGCUGCAAGCUAAAAUUACCGACACUUUUAAAAAGUGUUGCUAUAUGUGGGGUCGCUAGGUAUAUAGUGACAGUUAAGAGUGUCGCUAUAACCUAAAAGAGUGCUGCUAAUUUACCAACACUUAUUUAAACAUUUAGCAACCGCCGAAACUCUAUCUCGUUGGCUGCGGUGGCAGAGGAGGACGACAGUAAAGGCUCUUCGUCUAGAAUUUCAGUGGAUUGAGUGAAGAGAUUAGAAAAGAUGGUAAUUGAUUUUUCUUUUUUUUUUU
RNAcentral lists this long non-coding RNA (714 nucleotides) under Ananas comosus (pineapple). RNAcentral's name for it is "long non-coding RNA (ACOM_LNC003395)". The record is from RNAcentral. Lineage: Eukaryota; Viridiplantae; Streptophyta; Magnoliopsida; Poales; Bromeliaceae.